GUGGGGAAUCUUCAGCAAUGGACGAAAGUCUGACGGAGCAACGCCGCGUGAGUGAAGAAGGUUUUCGGAUCGUAAAGCUCUUUCGUUAGGGACGAACGUGCUCUUUGUGAAUAAUGAGGAGUAAUGACGGUACCUAAAUAAGAAGCCACGGCUAACUACGUGCCAGCAGCCGCGGUAAUACGUAGGUGGCAAGCGUUGUCCGGAAUUAUUGGGCGUAAAGCGCGCGCAGGCGGGAUAUCAAGUCUGUCUUAAAAGUGCGAGGCUCAACCUCGUGAGGGGACAGAAACUGGUAUUCUUGAGUGUCGGAGAGGAAAGUGGAAUUCCAAGUGUAGCGGUGAAAUGCGUAGAGAUUUGGAAGAACACCAGUGGCGAAGGCGACUUUCUGGACGAUGUCUGACGCUGAGGCGCGAAAGCUAGGGGAGCGAACGGGAUUAGAAACCCGUGUAGUCC
Molecule: ribosomal RNA, 450 nt
Filed under: uncultured bacterium
Lineage: Bacteria
Description: partial 16S ribosomal RNA
Rfam family: Bacterial small subunit ribosomal RNA
Source: RNAcentral